RNAcentral lists this ribosomal RNA (682 nucleotides) under Salmonella enterica subsp. enterica serovar Kentucky. RNAcentral describes it as "bacterial SSU rRNA". It matches the Rfam family "Bacterial small subunit ribosomal RNA", at positions 1 to 670 of the family's 1533-position model. Lineage: Bacteria; Pseudomonadati; Pseudomonadota; Gammaproteobacteria; Enterobacterales; Enterobacteriaceae. The record is from RNAcentral.
ACUUAAAUUGAAGAGUUUGAUCAUGGCUCAGAUUGAACGCUGGCGGCAGGCCUAACACAUGCAAGUCGAACGGUAGCACAGAGAGCUUGCUCUCGGGUGACGAGUGGCGGACGGGUGAGUAAUGUCUGGGAAACUGCCCGAUGGAGGGGGAUAACUACUGGAAACGGUAGCUAAUACCGCAUAACGUCGCAAGACCAAAGAGGGGGACCUUCGGGCCUCUUGCCAUCAGAUGUGCCCAGAUGGGAUUAGCUAGUUGGUGAGGUAACGGCUCACCAAGGCGACGAUCCCUAGCUGGUCUGAGAGGAUGACCAGCCACACUGGAACUGAGACACGGUCCAGACUCCUACGGGAGGCAGCAGUGGGGAAUAUUGCACAAUGGGCGCAAGCCUGAUGCAGCCAUGCCGCGUGUAUGAAGAAGGCCUUCGGGUUGUAAAGUACUUUCAGCGAGGAGGAAGGCGUUGUGGUUAAUAACCACAGCGAUUGACGUUACUCGCAGAAGAAGCACCGGCUAACUCCGUGCCAGCAGCCGCGGUAAUACGGAGGGUGCAAGCGUUAAUCGGAAUUACUGGGCGUAAAGCGCACGCAGGCGGUUUGUUAAGUCAGAUGUGAAAUCCCCGGGCUCAACCUGGGAACUGCAUUUGAAACUGGCAAGCUUGAGUCUCGUAGAGGGGGGUAGAAUUCC